This 484-nucleotide ribosomal RNA is filed under the name uncultured bacterium. Its description in RNAcentral is "partial 16S ribosomal RNA". It matches the Rfam family "Bacterial small subunit ribosomal RNA", at positions 28 to 523 of the family's 1533-position model. The record is from RNAcentral.
GAUGAACGCUGGCGGCGUGCUUAACACAUGCAAGUCGAACGGUGAAAGCGGAGCUUGCUCUGCUGGAUCAGUGGCGAACGGGUGAGUAACACGUGAGCAAUCUGCCCCUGACUCUGGGAUAAGCGCUGGAAACGGCGUCUAAUACUGGAUACGAGCUGCGAAGGCAUCUUCAGCAGCUGGAAAGAACUUCGGUCAGGGAUGAGCUCGCGGCCUAUCAGCUUGUUGGUGAGGUAACGGCUCACCAAGGCGUCGACGGGUAGCCGGCCUGAGAGGGUAACCUGCCAAACUGGGGCUGGGACACGGCCCAGACUCCUACGGGAGGCAGCAGUGGGGAAUAUUGCACAAUGGGCGCAAGCCUGAUGCAGCAACGCCGCGUGAGGGACGACGGCCUUCGGGUUGUAAACCUCUUUUAGCAGGGAAGAAGCGAAAGUGACGGUACCUGCAGAAAAAGCGCCGGCUAACUACGUGCCAGCAGCCGCCGUAA